GCCCAGGUAGCUCAGUCGGUAGAGCAGAGGAUUGAAAAUCCUCGUGUCGGUGGUUCGAUUCCGCCCCUGGGCACCA
RNAcentral lists this transfer RNA (76 nucleotides) under Methylogaea oryzae. RNAcentral describes it as "tRNA-Phe". It matches the Rfam family "tRNA". Rfam says of the family: Transfer RNA (tRNA) molecules are approximately 80 nucleotides in length. The record is from RNAcentral. Lineage: Bacteria; Pseudomonadati; Pseudomonadota; Gammaproteobacteria; Methylococcales; Methylococcaceae. RNAcentral also lists the same sequence under 17 other names.